GGCUGAGGCUGGAAGGGUAAGGUCACAGGAGAUGUAUGUGAGAGUAGGAAAACAUAGCCACGGGCAGCACUUAGUCACUUCCACUGCUGCCUGCCUGCAAUGGCUUACUCAUCUCAGGCAGCCCUACCACGCUCAGGGAGGAGAGGGAUCUAACCCACUUCCUCCAACACUUGGAGCAUACAACGUCUACACUGCCAUCUACUUCCUGUGACCACCGAGUUGACGCGCUCCCUCCUCUACCCACAACCUCCUUCAGACCAACUGCAGUCCUGUCUGCAGCCCACGCGGCUCUCCCGGGCCUGUCCCGCAGUCCUGCCUCCUUCUCUGCACGUGCACUCCAGCUACACAGUUUCCCAACGUAGGCCAGGCUGGCCUUGAAUUCGUGAUAAUCUUUCUGCUUCAGCUUCCCCAUCGUGAAGAAUACAGGCGCAAAUCGCAGUGGAGGCCAGGCUAGACUAAGUGAAAGACUGAGCCUUCUUUAAGGAGCAAGGAUUUAGGAAGCACCAAAUCUAAGGGGCUAAUCUGAGGGUGUCACCUAGCCCAGGCUGGCCUCAACAUUUUUAGCAGCAGAUAUGACUCAGCCCUUAUCAGCCUCCAUGAGUUUUCCCUGAGCUCCAGAGCGCUCUGCCCACUCAGAGGAUAUGGACCCUGAGACUCAGUGCAGCUCCCGAGAUCUGCGAAGGGCCCAUGGAGUCUCUAAAAAGCAGCCUUCCUUUUUCACAGCUGCAUCGUAUUGAGCCAACCCUGGUGUUUCCCAAGUGGGAAAAACUCACACACAAGGAUGUCCCCCCGGAGCAGCUGGUGGCGAGGCUUCACUUGUGAAGAGACUGUGUGUUUGUGUGUGUGUGUGUGUGGGGGGGGUGAUGCAGUGAGGUGGGAUUUAAGGAUUCAGUUAGAUGUGACAGUUGCACAAGCUCAGAGCCACCAGGGAGGGAGGGAGGGAGAGAGGGAGAGGGACAGAGACAUAGAGCUACCGCUGUGACCCUUCCCUAUGCCUGUCAAGCUCAAGCUAAACAGUCGUUCCACUGCCCUGAUCACUGCUGUCGUCCCACCCACCCCCAACCCUCCGCACAGUGCCUAAGCACAGUAGGUCUUCAAUAAAGCCUCAAAAACACAAUGCAAAAUGUGAAUUUAUGAAACAAGAGGAAAACGCCCGUGUUGCUGCAG
Long non-coding RNA from Mus musculus (house mouse), 1167 nucleotides. RefSeq annotates it as predicted gene, 33258. The transcript is spliced from 3 exons. Lineage: Eukaryota; Metazoa; Chordata; Mammalia; Rodentia; Muridae. The record is from RefSeq and is a predicted model, not a curated record.